UACGUAGGGGGCUAGCGUUGUCCGGAUUUAUUGGGCGUAAAGAGCGUGUAGGCGGCCAGGUAGGUCUGCUGUGAAAACUCGAGGCUUAACCUCGAGAUGUCGGCGGAAACCAUCUGGCUAGAGUCCGGAAGAGGAGAGUGGAAUUCCUGGUGUAGCGGUGAAACGCGCAGAUAUCAGGAAGAACACCCGUGGCGAAGGCGGCUCUCUGGGACGGUACUGACGCUGAGACGCGAAAGCGUGGGGAGCGAACAGG
This 253-nucleotide ribosomal RNA is filed under the name uncultured bacterium. RNAcentral's name for it is "partial 16S ribosomal RNA". It matches the Rfam family "Bacterial small subunit ribosomal RNA", at positions 524 to 776 of the family's 1533-position model. The record is from RNAcentral.